UUGUGUGUUAUUCAUAUUGUUUGACAAAGGAGCUGAGAAAAUUAUUUCUAAAACUGCAAAAGAACUUGCAGAGAUGCAAGAAGAGAUGUUGAAAUUAGAUGAGAAUACUUUACCAAAA
Quercus lobata is the source of this 118-nucleotide long non-coding RNA. RefSeq lists it as uncharacterized. The transcript has 2 exons. The record is from RefSeq and is a predicted model, not a curated record. NCBI's taxonomy places the organism in Eukaryota, Viridiplantae, Streptophyta, Magnoliopsida, Fagales, Fagaceae.